UUUCGCUAUUAGAUGAGCCUGCGUGAGAUUAGCUAGUUGGUGGGGUAAAGGCCUACCAAGGCGACGAUCUCUAGCUGGUCUGAGAGGAUGAUCAGCCACACUGGGACUGAGACACGGCCCAGACUCCUACGGGAGGCAGCAGUGGGGAAUAUUGGACAAUGGGCGCAAGCCUGAUCCAGCCAUGCCGCGUGUGUGAAGAAGGCCUUAGGGUUGUAAAGCACUUUCAGAGGUGAGGAAGGGUGUGNAGUUAAUACCUGCAUAUCUUGACGUUAACUCCAGAAGAAGCACCGGCUAACUCUGUGCCAGCAGCCGCGGUAAUACAGAGGGUGCGAGCGUUAAUCGGAAUUACUGGGCGUAAAGCGCGCGUAGGCGGUUUGUUAAGUCGGAUGUGAAAUCCCAGGGCUCAACCUUGGAAUGGCACCCGAUACUGGCAGGCUAGAGUACGGUAGAGGGGUGUGGAAUUUCC
This 466-nucleotide ribosomal RNA is filed under the name Marinomonas sp. R-238. RNAcentral describes it as "bacterial SSU rRNA". It matches the Rfam family "Bacterial small subunit ribosomal RNA", at positions 213 to 671 of the family's 1533-position model. Lineage: Bacteria; Pseudomonadati; Pseudomonadota; Gammaproteobacteria; Oceanospirillales; Oceanospirillaceae. The record is from RNAcentral.